GACGAACGCUGGCGGCGUGCUUAACACAUGCAAGUCGAACGGAAAGGCCCUGCUUUUGUGGGGUGCUCGAGUGGCGAACGGGUGAGUAACACGUGAGUAACCUGCCCUUGACUUUGGGAUAACUUCAGGAAACUGGGGCUAAUACCGGAUAGGAGCUCCUGCUGCAUGGUGGGGGUUGGAAAGUUUCGGCGGUUGGGGAUGGACGCGCGGCUUAUCAGCUUGUUGGUGGGGUAGUGGCUUACCAAGGCUUUGACGGGUAGCCGGCCUGAGAGGGUGACCGGCCACAUUGGGACUGAGAUACGGCCCGGACUGCUACGGGAGGCAGCAGUGGGGAAUAUUGCACAAUGGGCGGAAGCCUGAUGCAGCAACGCCGCGUGCGGGAUGACGGCCUUCGGGUUGUAAACCGCUUUCGCCUGUGACGAAGCGUGAGUGACGGUAAUGGGUAAAGAAGCACCGGCUAACUACGUG
Molecule: ribosomal RNA, 468 nt
Filed under: uncultured bacterium
Lineage: Bacteria
Description: partial 16S ribosomal RNA
Rfam family: Bacterial small subunit ribosomal RNA
Source: RNAcentral